This 468-nucleotide ribosomal RNA is filed under the name uncultured bacterium. RNAcentral describes it as "partial 16S ribosomal RNA". It matches the Rfam family "Bacterial small subunit ribosomal RNA", at positions 28 to 507 of the family's 1533-position model. The record is from RNAcentral.
GACGAACGCUGGCGGCGUGCCUAACACAUGCAAGUCGAACGGAAAGGCCCUGCUUUUGUGGGGUGCUCGUGUGGCGAACGGGUGAGUAACACGCGAGUAACAUGCCCUUGACUGUCGGAUAACUUCACGAAACUGGGGCUAUUACCGGAUAGGAGCUCCUGCACCACGGGGGGGGAAGGAGAGAUACGGCGGUGGGGGAUCGUCUCGCGGGAUACCAGCUUGAUGGUGUGGUAGGUGCUUACCAAGGCUUCGACGGGUAGCCUGCCUGAGAGGGGGGCCGGCCACCUGGGGACUAAGAGACGGCCCAGACUGCUACGGGAGGCAGCAGGGGAGAAUAUUGCGCAAUGGGCCGAAGCCUGAUGCGACAACCCCGCGAGCGGAAUAACGGCCUUCGAGUUGUGAACAGAUGUCGCCGUAGACGAAGCGUGAGUGACGGUAAUGAGUAAGAAAGCACCGGCUAACUACGUG